CGCACCGACCCGCCUAAUCGUGUUCCACGAACCGGGGACCCAUGAGCACCAUCGGGGUGAAUCCGCGAGCCCACGGCCCGCGGUAGGGCGUACUUCCCGCCCGAAUCCGUCAGCUAACCCGGUCGGCGGCCACGGAAGGAGUA
Molecule: small RNA, 143 nt
Filed under: Micromonospora aurantiaca (nom. illeg.)
Lineage: Bacteria; Bacillati; Actinomycetota; Actinomycetes; Micromonosporales; Micromonosporaceae
Also listed under: 1 other name
Description: Micromonospora aurantiaca c-di-AMP sequence
Rfam family: c-di-AMP riboswitch aptamer (ydaO/yuaA leader)
About the family: This family represents a conserved RNA structure found upstream of the ydaO and yuaA genes in Bacillus subtilis and related genes in other bacteria. The ydaO/yuaA element is thought to act as a genetic "off" switch for the ydaO and yuaA genes in its native state.
Source: RNAcentral